UACGUAGGGGGCUAGCGUUGUCCGGAAUCAUUGGGCGUAAAGCGCGUGUAGGCGGCCCGGUAAGUCCGCUGUGAAAGUCGGGGGCUCAACCCUCGGAUGCCGGUGGAUACUGCCGGGCUAGAGUCCGGGAGAGGCGAGUGGAAUUCCUGGUGUAGCGGUGGAAUGCGCAGAUAUCAGGAGGAACACCUAAGGCGAAGGCAGCUCGCUGGAACGGUACUGACGCUGAGGCGCGAAAGCGUGGGGAGCGAACAGG
RNAcentral lists this ribosomal RNA (253 nucleotides) under uncultured bacterium. RNAcentral's name for it is "partial 16S ribosomal RNA". It matches the Rfam family "Bacterial small subunit ribosomal RNA", at positions 524 to 776 of the family's 1533-position model. The record is from RNAcentral.